CAGGAAUGAAGCACUGUGUUCUGUACC
Molecule: non-coding RNA, 27 nt
Filed under: Cricetulus griseus (Chinese hamster)
Lineage: Eukaryota; Metazoa; Chordata; Mammalia; Rodentia; Cricetidae
Source: RNAcentral